CAGUCGCCGCGGGAAUACGAAGGGGGCUAGCGUUGCUCGGAAUUACUGGGCGUAAAGGGAGCGUAGGCGGACAUUUAAGUCAGGGGUGAAAUCCCGGGGCUCAACCUCGGAAUUGCCUUUGAUACUGGGUGUCCUGAGUAUGAGAGAGGUAUGUGGAACUCCGAGUGUAGAGGUGAAAUUCGUAGAUAUUCGGAAGAACACCAGUGGCGAAGGCGACAUACUGGCUCAUUACUGACGCUGAGGCUCGAAAGCGUGGGGAGCAAACAGGAUUAGAUACCCCCGUAGUCCCUGUCUCUUAUAC
This 301-nucleotide ribosomal RNA is filed under the name uncultured bacterium. RNAcentral describes it as "partial 16S ribosomal RNA". It matches the Rfam family "Bacterial small subunit ribosomal RNA", at positions 509 to 807 of the family's 1533-position model. The record is from RNAcentral.